CCUACGGGAGGCAGCAGUGGGGGAUAUUGCACAAUGGGGGAAACCCUGAUGCAGCGACGCCGCGUGAGUGAAGAAGUAUUUCGGUAUGUAAAGCCCUAUCAGCAGGGCAGAAAGAAGACGGUACCUGACUAAGAAGCACCGGCUAACUACGUGCCAGCAGCCGCGGUAAUACGGAGGGGGCGAGCGUUAUCCGGAUUCACUGGGUGUAAAGGGAGCGUAGACGGCUUUGCAAGCCAGGAGUGAAAGCCCGGGGCCCAACCCCGGGACUGCGCUUGGAACUGUGCGGCUGGAGUGCGGGAGGGGCAGGCGGAAUUCCUGGUGUAGCGGUGAAAUGCGUAGAUAUCAGGAGGAACACCGGAGGCGAAGGCGGCCUGCUGGACCGCGACUGACGUUGAGGCUCGAAAGCGUGGGGAGCGAACAGGAUUAGAUACCCCAGUAGUC
This 441-nucleotide ribosomal RNA is filed under the name uncultured bacterium. RNAcentral describes it as "partial 16S ribosomal RNA". It matches the Rfam family "Bacterial small subunit ribosomal RNA", at positions 338 to 795 of the family's 1533-position model. The record is from RNAcentral.